This 1333-nucleotide ribosomal RNA is filed under the name uncultured bacterium. RNAcentral describes it as "bacterial SSU rRNA". It matches the Rfam family "Bacterial small subunit ribosomal RNA", at positions 28 to 1381 of the family's 1533-position model. The record is from RNAcentral.
GGCGAACGCUGGCGGCGCGCCUAACACAUGCAAGUCGAACGAGCGAGAGAGAGCUUGCUUUCUCGAGCGAGUGGCGAACGGGUGAGUAACGCGUGAGGAACCUGCCUCAAAGAGGGGGACAACAGUUGGAAACGACUGCUAAUACCGCAUAAGCCCACAGCUCGGCAUCGAGCAGAGGGAAAAGGAGCAAUCCGCUUUGAGAUGGCCUCGCGUCCGAUUAGCUAGUUGGUGAGGUAACGGCCCACCAAGGCGACGAUCGGUAGCCGGACUGAGAGGUUGAACGGCCACAUUGGGACUGAGACACGGCCCAGACUCCUACGGGAGGCAGCAGUGGGGAAUAUUGCACAAUGGGGGAAACCCUGAUGCAGCGACGCCGCGUGGAGGAAGAAGGUCUUCGGAUUGUAAACUCCUGUUGUUGAGGAAGAUAAUGACGGUACUCAACAAGGAAGUGACGGCUAACUACGUGCCAGCAGCCGCGGUAAAACGUAGGUCACAAGCGUUGUCCGGAAUUACUGGGUGUAAAGGGAGCGCAGGCGGGAAGACAAGUUGGAAGUGAAAUCCAUGGGCUCAACCCAUGAACUGCUUUCAAAACUGUUUUUCUUGAGUAGUGCAGAGGUAGGCGGAAUUCCCGGUGUAGCGGUGGAAUGCGUAGAUAUCGGGAGGAACACCAGUGGCGAAGGCGGCCUACUGGGCACCAACUGACGCUGAGGCUCGAAAGUGUGGGUAGCAAACAGGAUUAGAUACCCUGGUAGUCCACACUGUAAACGAUGAUUACUAGGUGUUGGAGGAUUGACCCCUUCAGUGCCGCAGUUAACACAAUAAGUAAUCCACCUGGGGAGUACGACCGCAAGGUUGAAACUCAAAGGAAUUGACGGGGGCCCGCACAAGCAGUGGAGUAUGUGGUUUAAUUCGACGCAACGCGAAGAACCUUACCAAGUCUUGACAUCCUGCGAUGGUGCUGGAAACAGUACUUUCCUUCGGGACGCAGAGACAGGUGGUGCAUGGUUGUCGUCAGCUCGUGUCGUGAGAUGUUGGGUUAAGUCCCGCAACGAGCGCAACCCUUAUGGUCAGUUACUACGCAAGAGGACUCUGGCCAGACUGCCGUUGACAAAACGGAGGAAGGUGGGGAUGACGUCAAAUCAUCAUGCCCUUUAUGACUUGGGCUACACACGUACUACAAUGGCGUUAAACAAAGAGAAGCAAGACCGCGAGGUGGAGCAAAACUCAGAAACAACGUCCCAGUUCGGACUGCAGGCUGCAAACUCGCCUGCACGAAGUCGGAAUUGCUAGUAAUCGCAGAUCAGCAUGCUGCGGUGAAUACGUUCCCGGGCCU